GGGUAUAUAGCUCAGUGGUAGAGUGUGUGCUCAGCAUGCACUAGGUCCUGGGUUCAAUGCCCUGUCCCU
This 69-nucleotide transfer RNA is filed under the name Camelus dromedarius (Arabian camel). It matches the Rfam family "tRNA". From Rfam's summary of the family: Transfer RNA (tRNA) molecules are approximately 80 nucleotides in length. Lineage: Eukaryota; Metazoa; Chordata; Mammalia; Artiodactyla; Camelidae. The record is from Rfam by way of RNAcentral. RNAcentral also lists the same sequence under 1 other name.